AGCCCCUCUUGUCCCUUAUCUCCCGUUAAGAACACCCUCUCUCAAAUUGUAUCUCACUUAUGGAGCUAAUAAGCACCCAGAGUCUGAUGCAUUGACGUCUGUAAAAGCUGAGAAUUGGUACGGUGAAAAGAUUCGUCACAAAGAUGCACCUUGCAUUUCCUUGGGAGUUUAGCUACGGACUCCUGGACGCAAUUCAGGUAAGCUCACAUGUGUCUAUCGCAAAGAUUUUUGACCAAAGAAAUUAAACUUUUCGUUGCUCUCUCGUAAUUAUAGAUAAAGAGCGUUUUCAGAUCCUGGCUCAGAAAUUAUAUUUAUUGUUAUUACACACAAAUUAGAAUGCAGCACAAUUUACUCAUCAUUACGAGUCUAGAAGAAUCAGUAUCCAUAUAGGUAUAUAUGUCAGGAAAUCCUUCUUGUAACUUGGGAAGGUGAAACAUGCUUUCCGUUCCUACAAUUUCAGGGAAGAUACACUUAAAACAGCUUCAAGGACCGCGCACUGCACUAAAAUAAAUGCUGCAUGGCCUUUUGUUAUUUUAUAAUUACAUACAUGAUACAUGCCUUUUUUAUUUUUCUGUAAAGCAGCAAAGUUCUACAACUAAACAUAGCUCCAAACAAGUAACUAAAAAGAAGUAACUGGAAGGUGAGAAUCCUAGAGAUCAACCACUACGCGCCAGAUGAUGAUACCACCUGGCCGGAUUUAUUAAAGCCAGGUGGUCACCCACCACAAUUCCUUUCUUUGUUCCUCUCUGGGUCAGGCUCAUCUCGAUCUAAGGCUCACCUGCUAAACGAAUUAAAGGAGUCUUUUGCGUUCCUUUAGUUAAUCUCCUACACACUCCUUUCCAACAUCUCUUGAUACCUCUUGAAGGACUCCAGCUUCUGCAUCCUUAUCUGCCUAUGAAACCUUCUUAUGAACACAUCAGCCACAUGGUCGAUCUCGUCCUCGAGGAUGAACUCUGAACCAUCCUCCUUGGAGUUCCUAACCAGAUCGAUCACCGAUCCAGUGGUGUCACCAAGUCCAUCAUCAUCAUCAUCCUCAUCAUCAAAUAGUGAGUGCGUAAGGUCUGGAUAAUCAUCAUCAUCAUCAUCGCAGUUUACUGCCUCAGUAUGUGUGGUGCUUGGCGUAGCCUCGUUUUCUCUUGCAUUAUAAAGCACUAUGGCCUUGCCGUAGUCCUCAGUGUUGGUGGGAGUUUCUUCACCUUUCUCUUGGCCCAUCAGUGCAUGGAUCUUAUGGUUGAUUGCACUCAUCAACAGCUUCUUGUGCCGAAGCAGUCCGAAUAUGAGGAGCCGGCUCUUCAUGGCACCAGUUUUGCUCUUCACGGCCAUAGACUUGGCCUUCACCACGUUGACAAUAACAGAGAACACCUGCUUGAGGAAGUUGGAAGCCUUGUUCUUCAUCUUUGCAGAACUGAGGUUGGAGAAUAUGCACAGAGCUGGAAGAGAUGAAGGGAGGGGAGUGUCCAAAAGAGGUUCAGAAUUUAAGUGCUCAGGCAUGAAAUAUGGCUCGGAAGAAAGAGAUGAAAAAAGUUGGCGGAGUUUUAGACACAGAACAGGCUCCAAGGAGUACUGCUAACUUGCUGAAUUUUUUGAGAAGGAAAAGGAUAUGUUCAUAGAAACUGGUAGUGGUUUACUGGUUUAGUAUGAAACAGGAAGAGGGAUGAUAUAUAGGUUAUUACAAACUACAGAGAUACAAAGAGGUGGUUGUUUUGGCAUGGAGGUUGUCCUGUGGGGAUCGAUGGGUAUUUAUAGAGGCGGGGAGGAAGGUGGUGUGCUACUUCUGCUCAUGUGAGUGGUGAUUAGACUUAGUGGGAAAGCUCUCAAAAGCUAGGAGUGGGCACGAAGAAAACGUAGUAAAGUUGAAAGGGUUAAAGAAAAGCAAGGACAGAACCGACAGAGCACGAGCACAACACGAGAAAGAAACCAAGCAGAUAAAGCAGUUUUGGUGGCCACUUGUGAUGGGUUAGAGUUUGGUUGGGGUUGGAGCCUUGGAUUAUUUGACCGCAUGACUACUGUUGGUUUCGGGCCAUUCGCUUAUUCUUCAGUGACUGAAGUAUCCCACAGAAAUUAACCCAACAGCUAACCAUGAGUUGGGAGCUCUGGAUGCUUUAUCCAUCCCAGUAGCCACAGCUAGCUUCUUUAGCCCUUCACUAUUUAGUAUUUUAAUGAUUUCUACAAACAGGAGUUUUUUACGAAACCGCCUCUUGUAAAGCAAGCCAAAAAAGGCUUAACGAGCUUUUUUUUCAGCUGUCAUCCUCACAUGCACGGCAUUUCCUUUGAACUCUUGGGCAUAAAGCAAGUUCGGAAGGAAUAUUUUUAAAUGAAAAGGCUGUAAAGCUUAUGGACUAUUAUUCCUUUCUUAGCUCAUAAACAUGGUCGAAAAUAAUAGAACUGGGUUUCCGUAAGGUUUGCAGCAAUGUAAAUUUUGUCCCUCUUGCUUGUCCCACUUAUUUUUUUUCUUUGUUUUCCUUUUUUUUUUUUUGAGUUCGAGAUUUUCUGUUAUCCAAAUGGAAGUUGAUUGACGUAUUUUUAUUGAUCUUGAUAGAUGCAAGAACCUUAUCUGGGUUGCAGUGUUGAAGUGAUCCAUUUAGCUUAACGUACGUGAUGGCUAGGCAGAAGGCAGCAACUGUUGCAACAUAUCUGGAGUAUAUUUGACUUGGAAUGUGAAUCGGAAUAGCAAUAUUUUCAAUGCAUUUAAUUCAUGAUCAAAAUCAAAAUCAAGAUCGAACUGGG
RNAcentral lists this long non-coding RNA (2727 nucleotides) under Elaeis guineensis (African oil palm). RNAcentral describes it as "long non-coding RNA (EGUI_LNC031036)". The record is from RNAcentral. Lineage: Eukaryota; Viridiplantae; Streptophyta; Magnoliopsida; Arecales; Arecaceae.